This 665-nucleotide ribosomal RNA is filed under the name uncultured Lachnospiraceae bacterium. RNAcentral's name for it is "bacterial SSU rRNA". It matches the Rfam family "Bacterial small subunit ribosomal RNA", at positions 56 to 718 of the family's 1533-position model. Lineage: Bacteria; Bacillati; Bacillota; Clostridia; Lachnospirales; Lachnospiraceae. The record is from RNAcentral.
UGCAAGUCGAACGAAGCACCUUACCACGAUUCCUUCGGGAUGACGGUUUAGUGACUGAGUGGCGGACGGGUGAGUAACGCGUGGGGAACCUGCCCCAUACCGGGGGAUAACAGCCGGAAACGGCUGCUAAUACCGCAUAAGCGCACAGUACCGCAUGGUACGGUGUGAAAAACUCCGGUGGUAUGGGAUGGACCCGCGUCUGAUUAGCCAGUUGGCGGGGUAACGGCCCACCAAAGCGACGAUCAGUAGCCGGCCUGAGAGGGCGACCGGCCACAUUGGGACUGAGACACGGCCCAGACUCCUACGGGAGGCAGCAGUGGGGAAUAUUGCACAAUGGGGGAAACCCUGAUGCAGCGACGCCGCGUGAGUGAGGAAGUAUUUCGGUAUGUAAAGCUCUAUCAGCAGGGAAGAAGAAAUGACGGUACCUGACUAAGAAGCCCCGGCUAACUACGUGCCAGCAGCCGCGGUAAUACGUAGGGGGCAAGCGUUAUCCGGAUUUACUGGGUGUAAAGGGAGCGCAGGCGGCAUGAUAAGUCUGAUGUGAAAACCCAAGGCUCAACCAUGGGACUGCAUUGGAAACUGUCGUGCUGGAGUGUCGGAGAGGUAAGCGGAAUUCCUAGUGUAGCGGUGAAAUGCGUAGAUAUUAGGAGGAACACCAGCGGCGA